CCCUUAGAUGUUCUGGGCUGCACGCGCGCUACACUGAUGCGAUCAACAAGUUUUUCCUAUGUCGAUAGACACGGGUAAUCUUUUGAACUCGCAUCGUGAUGGGGAUAGAUUAUUGUAAUUAUUAAUCUUCAACGAGGAAUUCCUAGUAGGUGCAAAUCAUCAGUUUGCAUCGAUUACGUCCCUGCCCUUUGUACACACCGCCCGUCGCUGCUACCGAUUGGUUGAUCUGGUGAAUCAUUCGGACUGCCGGCUGAAGGGGUUUCCUCAUCUGCCAGCGGAAAGUCUUGUUAACCCUAUCAACUAGAGGAAGCAGAAGUCGUAACA
Molecule: ribosomal RNA, 324 nt
Filed under: uncultured eukaryote
Lineage: Eukaryota
Description: partial 18S ribosomal RNA
Rfam family: Eukaryotic small subunit ribosomal RNA
Source: RNAcentral